Ictidomys tridecemlineatus (thirteen-lined ground squirrel) is the source of this 2230-nucleotide non-coding RNA. NCBI's taxonomy places the organism in Eukaryota, Metazoa, Chordata, Mammalia, Rodentia, Sciuridae. The record is from RefSeq and is a predicted model, not a curated record.
UCUUAGGCUGUUGUCCUGGUAAACUUGGGAGAAAGGAUUAGUGCUGUUUUUCAGAAUCCUGUUUACAUAAUGGUAAUCUGCGGAUUUGCAUUUGUUUCAACCUAUUAGCCUUGGAGGAGGGCAAGGGGCCAGAGCUGCCCUUUGCACCAUUUAGCUGGCCCUGGAGCAGCCAUGGUGGCAGGUUUAAACAAUCUUAUUAUGAAACACCGACAGCUUCGGCUAAUACAACCCUCUCCCGCCCAGCUCUCUCUUCAUUUGGAAAGAACCGGAAGUUGCAAUAGUAUCUCUUGGAGAGAAGCAGGUUGAGAAACCAGGAGGUGGAGACUGGGUAUGUGGAGGGCAAGAAUCAAGACAACCAAGAGUCGGCAGGCACUCCUUGUACCUGGGCGUUCCUGUGCCAAGAGGCCAGAAGCACGGGAAGAGAUCCGUGGCCCAGACCCCCAACAUACCUGAGGGUGAAUAGUGCCUGGGAAGGCACCCCAGAGUGUGCACCAGGUCCCGCUGAAGUCCAGGUGCCGGGAGAUCUUCCUUCCAGUGGAGUUGAGGGGCUUCCCUGGGAGUCCUGGUCCCCUUGCCGGAGGUGGCUGAGAACUGAGUAAGAAUGAGAGGAUGAACCCAUUUGGGUGAUUUUUGUCACACCUUCAAGGCACUUGUUUUCUCAGAGGCCACCGAGACUCCCCUGCUCUUUAAAAACUAGAACUUUCAGCGAAGGCCUCUGUCGGAAGUCUGCUGGGUGAGGACGCGUGUGGGUUCCCAGCCACCCAACCGAGUGAACCGGGGCUUGGUUUUUUGAGUUCUUGUUGGAUGGGUGGACAUCGAUCUCUUCGACCACCUCGUGGCCCGUGCAUGAGGAAAACCGAUUCCCAUCCGCCUUGCUCUUGAAUCUCCCACUUGGCUUUUGCAGAGGAACUUGCAGUGUGUGACCAUCUUCGUGGACUCCCCCAGAGAAGCAGAGCUCUCUGUCGGUGUGUUUCAAGCUACCUUUAAAAGGCCAAGGAACUCCUCCUGGUUACAGGCAGGACAUUGAUUCACUUAUUUAAAGAGUUUAGAUAAGGGGGAAAAAAUGUUGAAGACUGUGAGUUCAAUCUCUGCAUCUUCCAGAUGAGAAAAUUAAAGCUCACAGAGAUUGAGCAACUUGCCCUGAUUCACAGAGCUAUGAAUGCAGGCCAAAGAUCAGAAUGUAGAUUUCUUAACAACCUGACCUGUGUGCUUUCACUUAUUUUUGAAUGACACGUUUUGGGGUUUUUUUUUUUUUUUGUAUCCAAGUUCUAGAAUUUUCAAGUGAAAUUUUUUCCUGUGACUUAGUUGGAAAGUCACUUGAUUAUGUGAGAUCUGAUGAAAUUGUUAAAGAGAAACUGUCUGCCCAGAAAAACCAUUCUGAGACUGUCAGAUUUCACAUUUUGUACAUCCUGGUAAUCAGAAGUGUGUAAUUUUUCUCAUAAUGUAACUCAGGCACAUUGAAAAUAGACUUUUAUAUCCAGAAUUAAUCAUUAAAAUUACAAAAAUGUCCUAAACUGGCCAAUCAGCACAUUCCAGUUCCAAGGUUUUGAAACUCCAGUGUGACAUUCAUCAUAAGGACAACAGUCAGUUAAGCUAUGGCUGUUUUGUUUUAGCAGUUUGUACAGAAAAACAUGACUCAUGUAUAGUCAUAUCCAUGAAUAGCACUUUGUUGAUUUUCUACCUAAUGCUUCUAUUAUUUGUUGGAGAAGUUGUUGAAGUCACUAAAAAUAAUAACUAUGCAUUAGUCUAUUUCUCCUUUCAGCUUUAUUAGUUUUUGCUUUAUGAUUUUUGAGGCUCAGUUGUUUGGUUCAUACAUGUUUAGAAUUGCUGUCUUUCUGGUAGAUUAACCAUUUUAGGUAUGUAAUGUGCUUCUUUGUUGCUAGUAAGCUUCUUUGUUCAAAUAAAGUAUACUUCAUGUUAUAUACCAAAGCCAUUCUUUUUAAAAUUAAGACUUAUGUGUAUGAUACUUCACCAUAUAAUUGUUGCAGAUUUUCUAGCAAUUUUUUUUGUUUGCAAAAAGGAGGUACUACCAUUAAAUGAAACAUUUUUUAAUUGUGUCAGUACUACUUAUAAAUCAUUUAUUAUUAAAUUUCUUUGAUGCAAGAUUAGGAUGCAUGGGACACAUGUGAAUAUACAUUAAUACAGUGACUACCGUUAUACUGUAAAAUAUGGCAUUUUUCAUUUACUGUCAAUCUGUUUUGUUAAAAUUAAAAUGAGUUUCUUGCAUACA